This is a long non-coding RNA of Helianthus annuus (common sunflower), 306 nucleotides long. RefSeq lists it as uncharacterized. Lineage: Eukaryota; Viridiplantae; Streptophyta; Magnoliopsida; Asterales; Asteraceae. The transcript has 2 exons. The record is from RefSeq and is a predicted model, not a curated record.
ACUACCUUCAUUAACUCUCAAACCUCUAAUACCCACUUACAAAUACAACACUUCCACACUUUCAACACUCACACUCUCUAAUCACUUCAAAACCCUCUCAAAUUAUCAAAAUUCUAAAGCUUAGGCAGAUUCAUCAAGUUCAAAAUAAUGAGUUUUAAGCUUGUUUAUGCAACUUUUCUUCUUGUUUUAUUGCUUCUUCUUUCUUGGAUAACCUUUAGGAGUUUUACCACAUGUUUACCAAGGGUAACUUGGCGAUUCCAUCCUCCAAAACCGCACACUCGCUUUUUAUGGAAAUCUUCGCAAACC